UGGGGAAUAUUGCACAAUGGGCGCAAGCCUGAUGCAGCCAUGCCGCGUGUGUGAAGAAGGCCUUCGGGUUGUAAAGUACUUUCAGCGGGGAGGAAGGGAGUAAAGUUAAUACCUUUGCUCAUUGACGUUACCCGCAGAAGAAGCACCGGCUAACUCCGUGCCAGCCGCCGCUGUAAUACGGAGGGUGCACGCGUUAAUCGGAAUUACUGGGCGUAAAGCGCACGCAGGCGGUUUGUUAAGUCAGAUGUGAAAUCCCCGGGCUCAACCUGGGAAGUGCAUCUGAUACUGGCAAGCUAGAGUAUUGUAGAGGGGGGUAGAAGUCCAGGUGUAGCGGUGAAAUGCGUAGAGAUCUGGAGGAAUACCGGUGGCGAAGGCGGCACCCUGGACAAAGACUGACGAUCAGGUGCGGAAGCGGGGGGAGCAAACAGG
Molecule: ribosomal RNA, 429 nt
Filed under: Chloroflexota bacterium
Lineage: Bacteria; Bacillati; Chloroflexota
Description: Chloroflexi bacterium partial 16S ribosomal RNA
Rfam family: Bacterial small subunit ribosomal RNA
Source: RNAcentral